This 2351-nucleotide long non-coding RNA is filed under the name Pongo abelii (Sumatran orangutan). RNAcentral's name for it is "lncRNA (ENSPPYG00000039179.1)". Lineage: Eukaryota; Metazoa; Chordata; Mammalia; Primates; Hominidae. The record is from RNAcentral.
UCCUAACAUUUGACAAACUGGAGUUGAACUAAAGGCUCCACAGGGGAAAGUUUCUGGUCUUACUAGUGUGUAUGAGCAAGAUCUGCUAAAACUUACUCCACUGGGUAAAUGGUUGACUGAGUCAAGAACAGGAUAUUAUCUCCUGCAUAGUUUUCAGUAAUGUAAGUGUGGACUAGUGCAUAUUUCAGACAACUGCUCUGCCUGUGCAAUGAAAAAUAGCCUUUAAGGGUUUCUUUGCAGACUGAUUUCAUUGGAUGGAUACUUAAUGCUGUGAAACAUGAUAGGAUUAACAUAAUGUUGGUGGAUUUCUUGAAUAGAAUUUGUCUUAACAUUCCUCUUUGUGUAGAGGCUUUAUUUUCUCUCUUAUAUUUGUAGCUAACCAGCUCAGGUUUUUUUAUUUGAACUGGGUUGAAUCUCUGAAGAAAUCUGUUCCAAGACCAUGCUAUAAAGACACUGUCAGCUAAUGGAGCUGGGAAGGGUGUACUCUGCUGACAGAGCAUUUCCUUGGGUGAUCAUAGUUUUGAGGUAGAGUUUAUGAUCAUUCAUAGCUUUGUCUAGAAGGAGUAAAAUAUCAUGGCCUUAACACAAAGGGUGCUGCGUAGAAUAUGAAUUGAUUUUGGAAUCCGAACACAAGCACCAUACUGAAGGACUAGCAGCCAAAUAACUGCCUAGGAUACUGAUGGUUGUGAAGACUGUUUCAAAUGAUUGGAUCUUUGAAAGCUUCAGCGUGCCUUAGUUUCUAGGAUCAGAAUUAGUUUUCCUCUCACUUGGCCUUGCAGCUAAAUGGAGAAAUGUUUCAAUUUCUUUGAAUACUUGCACAUUUCAAUAAUUCCUUUCCCGAUUGCAACCACUCAAGGGGGAGCAAAUUUGGAUGGAUUUACAACUUCAGAGGCAUUGUGAGGAAAGAGCAUUUUCCAAGGCUGUCUUGAUAACCCUGGGGUGAUAAGCAGUGAUCCCUCACACACUUACUUUGACAAUUUCACAUGCACUUGUACCUCAUUAUUUCCCUCUUCAAGAGUCAAUUCUAUUCUAGUCUGUGCCCCAUCCCCGGGGAAUCCUAAGAGAGAAUUUAUUCAUCUAAGUAAUCUCAAAAAACUGUAGGAAGGGUGCUCUCCCUGAGAAGCUUCUCCCACAGUGCUUUGGUGCUGUUACCUUGAGGUGGUUUGGACAGUCACAGAAGUUUUAGGCUGUGCAUAAUGAUCAUCUGUUCAUUUUAAGGUCUUUCUCAUUUAAAGAAACAUUCCUCAGUGUAACAUUUGGGAGGGGAUUAUUUCCUCUUGCUAGUUUAAAGGUGUGAUUCGUACUCCUUGUUUGUCCCAUUCAUAUAUGAAAAUAAGACUUAAAACUGUCCAACACUAAUGGUUUAUGUAACAUGCUUCCCAUUUUUUUUAUGUCAUAGAAGAGAUUGGAAGUUAGGGAGUACUGCUUUCAAGGUUCAACUUCAUUAUCUUCUGCAUUGGAAAAUAUUUGGGCCAUGAGAACUAGGGGAAAGGAGUUUGAAUGUGUGUAUUUUUUUCUAGUGAAUGUAUUUUAACCACAGUGUCCUAAACUGAGAAAACUAGAGAGGAAAAAGUGGGUGUUCAUGAACUUUGUGGUUGGGAGAGUGGUUUUACAUGUCUGUGUAUUCAUGACUUUGGGAGUGGGGAGGAUCAUUGGAGAGACAAUUGCACAGAAAGUCCUGAAGUUUAAAACACUUUUGACCAGCUUUGGCUUGGGAGAGUGGGGCUGCUUGUGGAACUGGAAGUGAAUAACUUUUUCAAGCAAUAUCAGUGAGUGGGUCCCAUCGACAGGGUUCCAGGACCUGGAACACUUUAACAGAAGGAAAUGCUGAAGCAGCUUGCAUAGUUGCUUUACAGACUUCCAAGAGGCUGAUUCUGGCUUCAAGAUGGAGCAUUGGAGUUGGUUUUUUGUUUUUUGGGUUUUUUUUUUUUUCCUCAAAGAACCUGCGGUUGCGCUUUGUGUGUUUUGUUUUUGUUUUCUAUUUGGGGGCCCCAUGGGAAAGAGCUUCUGAACUCUUUCCUUUAUGAACUCCCACUGUGUUCCUAUAAAGGCCCUUUUCUUUCAUAGUAUUGUAAGUUACAUUUUCAUUAUGCCCCAUCACAUCUUCUUUACUGUAAAAAUAUUAAAAAGCUGUUUCCAAGUGGGACAGCUAAUGAAGCUCUAAUUAUUGCAGACAUAUUUUUGAGAUGUAAAAAAAAAAAAUUAAAGUUAAAUGAUAAGUCUUAGAGGCGAGUGAGGAAUAAAAUGGAUGUAAACAUUUACAUGGGAUGCAUUAGAAUUCUGCUGUGUGUAUUGUCUUUUGGUUGAAACAAAUUAUGAACAGUGACUAAUAAUAAAAAGUCAAUACCCAA